Molecule: ribosomal RNA, 1284 nt
Filed under: Pseudomonas sp. CC120222-01b
Lineage: Bacteria; Pseudomonadati; Pseudomonadota; Gammaproteobacteria; Pseudomonadales; Pseudomonadaceae
Description: bacterial LSU rRNA
Rfam family: Bacterial large subunit ribosomal RNA
Source: RNAcentral
AAGGCCGAGAGCUGAUGACGAGUGCUCAUUAGAGCGCGAAGUGGUUGAUGCCAUGCUUCCAAGAAAAGCUCCUAAGCUUCAGAUAACUGGGAACCGUACCCCAAACCGACACAGGUGGUUAGGUAGAGAAUACCAAGGCGCUUGAGAGAACUCGGGUGAAGGAACUAGGCAAAAUGGCACCGUAACUUCGGGAGAAGGUGCGCCGGUGAGGGUGAAGGACUUGCUCCGUAAGCCCACGCCGGUCGAAGAUACCAGGCCGCUGCGACUGUUUAUUAAAAACACAGCACUCUGCAAACACGAAAGUGGACGUAUAGGGUGUGACGCCUGCCCGGUGCCGGAAGGUUAAUUGAUGGGGUUAGCGCAAGCGAAGCUCUUGAUCGAAGCCCCGGUAAACGGCGGCCGUAACUAUAACGGUCCUAAGGUAGCGAAAUUCCUUGUCGGGUAAGUUCCGACCUGCACGAAUGGCGUAACGAUGGCGGCGCUGUCUCCACCCGAGACUCAGUGAAAUUGAAAUCGCUGUGAAGAUGCAGUGUAUCCGCGGCUAGACGGAAAGACCCCGUGAACCUUUACUAUAGCUUUGCACUGGACUUUGAAUUUGCUUGUGUAGGAUAGGUGGGAGGCUUUGAAGUGGGGACGCCAGUUCUCAUGGAGCCAUCCUUGAAAUACCACCCUGGCAACUUUGAGGUUCUAACUCAGGUCCGUUAUCCGGAUCGAGGACAGUGUAUGGUGGGUAGUUUGACUGGGGCGGUCUCCUCCCAAAGAGUAACGGAGGAGUACGAAGGUGCGCUCAGACCGGUCGGAAAUCGGUCGUAGAGUAUAAAGGCAAAAGCGCGCUUGACUGCGAGACAAACACGUCGAGCAGGUACGAAAGUAGGUCUUAGUGAUCCGGUGGUUCUGUAUGGAAGGGCCAUCGCUCAACGGAUAAAAGGUACUCCGGGGAUAACAGGCUGAUACCGCCCAAGAGUUCAUAUCGACGGCGGUGUUUGGCACCUCGAUGUCGGCUCAUCACAUCCUGGGGCUGAAGCCGGUCCCAAGGGUAUGGCUGUUCGCCAUUUAAAGUGGUACGCGAGCUGGGUUUAGAACGUCGUGAGACAGUUCGGUCCCUAUCUGCCGUGGACGUUUGAGAUUUGAGAGGGGCUGCUCCUAGUACGAGAGGACCGGAGUGGACGAACCUCUGGUGUUCCGGUUGUCACGCCAGUGGCAUUGCCGGGUAGCUAUGUUCGGAAGAGAUAACCGCUGAAAGCAUCUAAGCGGGAAACUUGCCUCAAGAUGAGAUCUCACUGG